This 231-nucleotide long non-coding RNA is filed under the name Elaeis guineensis (African oil palm). RNAcentral describes it as "long non-coding RNA (EGUI_LNC048265)". Lineage: Eukaryota; Viridiplantae; Streptophyta; Magnoliopsida; Arecales; Arecaceae. The record is from RNAcentral.
UGCUCUCUAAAGAGUCAAACAGCUCCUCUCUACAACACACAUGAUAUAAAAAAGCAAAAUCCAAAAUUCAUUAGGGGGAAGAAGUAGAUAUCUCAUUAGUCACCAAAAGAAUAUCAUCACUAUCUUCUAUAUCGCUACUCACCAUCAUCACAGUAGCCUUCAUCCAAUCUCUGAGCUGCAGACAAUCUCUGACACGAUGUCCUAACUCAUUACACCGGUAACAUCUGAUCU